AUGAAGAACGCAGCGAAAUGCGAUAAGUAGUGUGAAUUGCAGAAUUCAGUGAAUCAUCGAAUCUUUGAACGCACAUUGCGCCUCCUGGUAUUCCGGGAGGCAUGCCUGUUCGAGCGUCAUUAAAAUCACUCAAGCUUAGGUUUACCUAUUGCUUGGUCUUGGAGAUGGAAGCCAAUUUAUUGGAAUCCUCUUCGAAAUUCAAUGGCGAAGACCCUUGCUCUCCCAAGUGUAGUAAUAACUUAUGUCACUGAAGGAAGCGAGAAAUCUUCUGCCGUAACCCCCAUAUUUUCUAUGAUUGACCUCGGAUCAGGUAGGGAUACCCGCUGAACUUAAGCAUAUCAAUAAGCGGAGGA
Molecule: unclassified non-coding RNA, 353 nt
Filed under: soil metagenome
Description: partial contains 5.8S ribosomal RNA, internal transcribed spacer 2, and large subunit ribosomal RNA
Rfam family: 5.8S ribosomal RNA (bases 1-119)
Source: RNAcentral